UACGUAGGGGGCUAGCGUUGUCCGGAAUCAUUGGGCGUAAAGAGCGCGUAGGCGGCCCGGUAAGUCUGCUGUAAAAGUCAAAGGCUUAACCUUUGAAAGUCAGUGGAUACUGCCGGGCUAGAGUCCGGAAGAGGCGAGUGGAACUCCUGGUGUAGCGGUGGAAUGCGCAGAUAUCAGGAAGAACACCAACGGCGAAGGCAGCUCGCUGGGACGGUACUGACGCUGAGACGCGAAAGCGUGGGGAGCGAACAGG
This 253-nucleotide ribosomal RNA is filed under the name uncultured bacterium. RNAcentral describes it as "partial 16S ribosomal RNA". It matches the Rfam family "Bacterial small subunit ribosomal RNA", at positions 524 to 776 of the family's 1533-position model. The record is from RNAcentral.